UACGAAGGGGGCUAGCGUUGCUCGGAAUCACUGGGUGUAAAGGGUGCGUAGGCGGGUCUUUAAGUCAGGGGUGAAAUCCUGGAGCUCAACUCCAGAACUGCCUUUGAUACUGAGGAUCUUGAGUUCGGGAGAGGUGAGUGGAACUGCGAGUGUAGAGGUGAAAUUCGUAGAUAUUCGCAAGAACACCAGUGGCGAAGGCGGCUCACUGGCCCGAUACUGACGCUGAGGCGCGACAGCGUGGGGAGCAAACAGG
Molecule: ribosomal RNA, 253 nt
Filed under: uncultured bacterium
Lineage: Bacteria
Description: partial 16S ribosomal RNA
Rfam family: Bacterial small subunit ribosomal RNA
Source: RNAcentral